AAGGAGUAUGCUGAUCUGAUAGAGCCUGUUGAAAAGAGGAUGCAAAAUGUACAUGAUUACAUAAAGUCGAUCAAGCCUGAGUUAAAUGUCUACAUCGAGCCCAUCACGGAUCCAUAUGGUCCAUCCAUUGUCGAUGAGAAUCUGGAAGCCAUCAUAGUCAGUAAGGAGACUCUACCAGGAGGGCUCGCAGUCAAUAGGAAAAGAGCCGAGCGA
Molecule: unclassified non-coding RNA, 213 nt
Filed under: Hevea brasiliensis (rubber tree)
Lineage: Eukaryota; Viridiplantae; Streptophyta; Magnoliopsida; Malpighiales; Euphorbiaceae
Source: RNAcentral